AACGAACGCUGGCGGCAGGCCUAACACAUGCAAGUCGAGCGAGAUCUUCGGGUCUAGCGGCGGACGGGUGAGUAACGCGUGGGAAUAUGCCUCUUGGUACGGAAUAGCCUCGGGAAACUGGGAGUAAUACCGUAUGUGCCCUUUGGGGGAAAGAUUUAUCGCCAAGAGAUUAGCCCGCGUUGGAUUAGGUAGUUGGUGGGGUAAUGGCCUACCAAGCCGACGAUCCAUAGCUGGUUUGAGAGGAUGAUCAGCCACACUGGGACUGAGACACGGCCCAGACUCCUACGGGAGGCAGCAGUGGGGAAUCUUAGACAAUGGGGGCAACCCUGAUCUAGCCAUGCCGGGUGAGUGAUGAAGGCCUUAGGGUUGUAAAGCUCUUUCAGCUGGGAAGAUAAUGACGGUACCAGCAGAAGAAGCCCCGGCUAACUCCGUG
RNAcentral lists this ribosomal RNA (433 nucleotides) under uncultured bacterium. Its description in RNAcentral is "partial 16S ribosomal RNA". It matches the Rfam family "Bacterial small subunit ribosomal RNA", at positions 29 to 507 of the family's 1533-position model. The record is from RNAcentral.